Molecule: small nuclear RNA, 61 nt
Filed under: Bison bison bison
Lineage: Eukaryota; Metazoa; Chordata; Mammalia; Artiodactyla; Bovidae
Source: RNAcentral
GAGAUUAUCAUGGCUCCUGCCCAAGGAGGAUAUGUGAAUUCAUGAAGUGUUCCAUGUUUUU